RNAcentral lists this long non-coding RNA (711 nucleotides) under Heterocephalus glaber (naked mole-rat). RNAcentral's name for it is "lncRNA (ENSHGLG00000030065.2)". Lineage: Eukaryota; Metazoa; Chordata; Mammalia; Rodentia; Bathyergidae. The record is from RNAcentral.
UAAGGCCCUCGCUCAGCCAGGAGGCCGUGGCUGUCUGGGUAGUGAGGCAGAAACCUCCAGGCACGGCCUCACCAGCGAGCUCAGAAACUGGUCCUGCAGGGCCAGCUGCCCGGCCAGCAGCCUCAGCCAGACUCACCAAGCCAAGGCCCAAGCCCAGACACAUGGAGGUCCCUGCUCCUCGUCACGGGACAGCUUGUCACGAAGCCAGGAGAGCUGCUGCCAGAGCUUCAGAGGCUCUUGUGCUUUUCUUCUGAGAGCCCUUAGAUGUGGUGGAGGAGCCGUUGCCAGCAACUCUGAGACCUGGGAAGAGGCUGGAGACUCCAGGCAGCCAAGGGAGAGGCUUCCUAAAGUCGAUGCGAGAGCCUGGCAGGCUGACUGGUGGAAUAAGCUCAGGCCCAGUGGAGGUGACAGGAAGUCUCAAUGGACAGCCCUUUCCGGAUGGGAGGCCCACCCAGGAGACAGGGCCAAGUCCCCAGAGCUCCUGUCAGAAUGGGAGGCACUGCUGCAGCUGGGAGAGGGAAGGACAACUCACGGAGUAGAAACCACUGCUCUUGGGGACUCCAGGACUGACAACAACGGCCUCCCCCCUGCACCCUUCUGGUUCCCAAGCCUUCAGAUUCUCCCUGAGUUACACCAUGGGCCUUCUUGUUUCUCUAGUUUAUAGAUGGCAGAUUUGGGGACCUAGUAGCUCUGUGUCUCUGGAGAACCCCA